Cloeon dipterum is the source of this 209-nucleotide small nucleolar RNA. RefSeq annotates it as small nucleolar RNA U3. Lineage: Eukaryota; Metazoa; Arthropoda; Insecta; Ephemeroptera; Baetidae. The transcript has a single exon. The record is from RefSeq and is a predicted model, not a curated record.
AAGAUCAUACUUCACAGGAUCAUUUCUGUAGUAUGUUUCGCCCGCAUUGAUUCUCUUCAAUGCGCUCAAGACACCCACGAGGAUGAGAUAUAACUGUGUUACCUGAGCGUGAGGAGGAUGACACAACCCCUUGGGGUUGCGUCAUCAUCGAUGAUCGUUCACCAAUCGCCCUAGGGUGGAUGGGAUGGUAACUCAGUUGUCUGAGUGGU